UCGAGCGAACAGAUAAGGAGCUUGCUCCUUUGACGUUAGCGGCGGACGGGUGAGUAACACGUGGGUAACCUACCUAUAAGACUGGGAUAACUUCGGGAAACCGGAGCUAAUACCGGAUAACAUUUGGAACCGCAUGGUUCUAAAGUGAAAGAUGGUUUUGCUAUCACUUAUAGAUGGACCCGCGCCGUAUUAGCUAGUUGGUAAGGUAACGGCUUACCAAGGCAACGAUACGUAGCCGACCUGAGAGGGUGAUCGGCCACACUGGAACUGAGACACGGUCCAGACUCCUACGGGAGGCAGCAGUAGGGAAUCUUCCGCAAUGGGCGAAAGCCUGACGGAGCAACGCCGCGUGAGUGAUGAAGGGUUUCGGCUCGUAAAACUCUGUUAUUAGGGAAGAACAAAUGUGUAAGUAACUGUGCACAUCUUGACGGUACCUAAUCAGAAAGCCACGGCUAACUACGUGCCAGCAGCCGCGGUAAUACGUAGGUGGCAAGCGUUAUCCGGAAUUAUUGGGCGUAAAGCGCGCGUAGGCGGUUUCUUAAGUCUGAUGUGAAAGCCCACGGCUCAACCGUGGAGGGUCAUUGGAAACUGGGAAACUUGAGUGCAGAAGAGGAAAGUGGAAUUCCAUGUGUAGCGGUGAAAUGCGCAGAGAUAUGGAGGAACACCAGUGGCGAAGGCGACUUUCUGGUCUGUAACUGACGCUGAUGUGCGAAAGCGUGGGGAUCAAACAGGAUUAGAUACCCUGGUAGUCCACGCCGUAAACGAUGAGUGCUAAGUGUUAGGGGGUUUCCGCCCCUUAGUGCUGCAGCUAACGCAUUAAGCACUCCGCCUGGGGAGUACGACCGCAAGGUUGAAACUCAAAGGAAUUGACGGGGACCCGCACAAGCGGUGGAGCAUGUGGUUUAAUUCGAAGCAACGCGAAGAACCUUACCAAAUCUUGACAUCCUUUGAAAACUCUAGAGAUAGAGCCUUCCCCUUCGGGGGACAAAGUGACAGGUGGUGCAUGGUUGUCGUCAGCUCGUGUCGUGAGAUGUUGGGUUAAGUCCCGCAACGAGCGCAACCCUUAAGCUUAGUUGCCAUCAUUAAGUUGGGCACUCUAGGUUGACUGCCGGUGACAAACCGGAGGAAGGUGGGGAUGACGUCAAAUCAUCAUGCCCCUUAUGAUUUGGGCUACACACGUGCUACAAUGGACAAUACAAAGGGCAGCUAAACCGCGAGGUCAUGCAAAUCCCAUAAAGUUGUUCUCAGUUCGGAUUGUAGUCUGCAACUCGACUACAUGAAGCUGGAAUCGCUAGUAAUCGUAGAUCAGCAUGCUACGGUGAAUACGUUCCCGGGUCUUGUACACACCGCCCGUCACACCACGAGAGUUUGUAACACCCGAAGCCGGUGGAGUAACCAUUUAUGGAGCUAGCCGUCGA
RNAcentral lists this ribosomal RNA (1418 nucleotides) under Staphylococcus saprophyticus. RNAcentral describes it as "bacterial SSU rRNA". It matches the Rfam family "Bacterial small subunit ribosomal RNA". Lineage: Bacteria; Bacillati; Bacillota; Bacilli; Caryophanales; Staphylococcaceae. The record is from RNAcentral.